GACCAUGGAAAGGAAUAAAGGAGUCACUGAAACCCAGAUGGGUUAGAAGAAUGUGGGGGCUUUGAGAUUUCCAAGGGAAUCUUCAUGUAUCUCAACUAAUCUUUUCCUUUCUGAGCAAAUCAUUAAUAUACACAAAGUUGAGUGUCUCAGAAGGGGGAAAACUUGUUAGUUUGCUUUCUGAUGAACACUUAUAGGGAGGAUGAAACCGGGAAGAAGAGAACCAGGAUGAAGAAGCAAUACUGAAGAUAUGUCGAGGCAUCAGGAGACGUAGUCUACUGAGACCUUCUGAGAAGCCCAUGAAAUGCCUCCUCGAAUUGUCCCCCUGAAUGCAGACACUGGAGGUUUCAUGUCUUGGCUCCUGUCCUGCCAGGAGCAUUAGCACGCCUGCAGCUAGACCUAUGAUGUCACAGACGACCCUGGGGCAGAAAGCCUGGGCAUCAGGGCAUGCAUAUGGGGCACGCUGGAGGCAGACUUGCAUGAACAUAGCGUCCACAGCACUGGAGGGUACAAUCAGAGGUGGGACAGAAGGUCCUAGAGCUCCACCGUGAAGGACU
This is a long non-coding RNA of Lutra lutra (Eurasian river otter), 554 nucleotides long. RefSeq lists it as uncharacterized. The transcript has 3 exons. The record is from RefSeq and is a predicted model, not a curated record. Lineage: Eukaryota; Metazoa; Chordata; Mammalia; Carnivora; Mustelidae.